This is a non-coding RNA of Ictidomys tridecemlineatus (thirteen-lined ground squirrel), 72 nucleotides long. The record is from Rfam. NCBI's taxonomy places the organism in Eukaryota, Metazoa, Chordata, Mammalia, Rodentia, Sciuridae.
GGGGUUGUGGCUCAGUGGCAGAGCGCUUGCCUAGCAUGUAUGAAGCACUGGGUUCGAUUCUCAACAACACAU